CGCGUAGACGGUUUUGUAAGUCAGAUGUGAAAUCCCUGGGCUCAACCUGGGAACUGCAUUUGAAACUGCAUGGCUAGAGUAUGGAAGAGGGAAGUGGAAUUUCCGGUGUAGCGGUGGAAUGCGUAGAUAUCGGAAGGAACACCAGUGGCGAAAGCGACUUCCUGGUCCAAUACUGACGUUCAUGUGCGAAAGCGUGGGGAGCAAACAGGAUUAGAUACCCUGGUAGUCCACGCCAUAAACGAUGACAACUAGAUGUUGGGAGGGUCUGCCUCUCGGUGUCGCAGCUAACGCGUUAAGUUGUCCGCCUGGGGAGUACGGCCGCAAGGUUGAA
This 331-nucleotide ribosomal RNA is filed under the name uncultured bacterium. Its description in RNAcentral is "bacterial SSU rRNA". It matches the Rfam family "Bacterial small subunit ribosomal RNA", at positions 568 to 898 of the family's 1533-position model. The record is from RNAcentral.